Molecule: ribosomal RNA, 253 nt
Filed under: uncultured bacterium
Lineage: Bacteria
Description: partial 16S ribosomal RNA
Rfam family: Bacterial small subunit ribosomal RNA
Source: RNAcentral
UACAGAGGUGGCAAGCGUUGUUCGGAAUUACUGGGCGUAAAGGGCGCGUAGGCGGCCUUCUAAGUCAGACGUGAAAUCCCCCGGCUUAACCUGGGAACUGCGUCUGAUACUGGAAGGCUUGAGUGCGGGAGAGGGAUGUGGAAUUCCAGGUGUAGCGGUGAAAUGCGUAGAUAUCGGGAGGAACACCCGUAGCGAAGGCGGCACUCUGGGCCGGAACUGACGCUGAGGAGCGAAAGCGUGGGGAGCAAACAGG